This 656-nucleotide long non-coding RNA is filed under the name Salmo salar (Atlantic salmon). Its description in RNAcentral is "lncRNA (ENSSSAG00000098145.1)". The record is from RNAcentral. Lineage: Eukaryota; Metazoa; Chordata; Actinopteri; Salmoniformes; Salmonidae.
AUUGGCUCGGGGUGAGUGUUCUAAACAGGAAGGUCUUAGUGUCAUUGUAUUGGCUCGGGGUGAGGGUUCUAAACAGGAAGGUCUUUGUGUCAUUGUAUUGGCUCGGGGUGAGGGUUCUAAACAGGAAGGUCUUAGUGUCAUUGUAUUGGCUCGGGGUGAGUGUUCUAAACAGGAAGGUCUUAGUAUCAUUGUAUUGGCUCGGGGUGAGGGUUCUAAGCAGGAAGGUCUUUGUAUCAUUGUAUUGGCUCGGGGUGAGGGUUCUAAACAGGAAGGUCUUUGUGUCAUUGUAUUGGCUUGGGGUGAGGGUUCUAAACAGGAAGGUCUUUGUAUCAUUGUAUUGGCUCGGGGUGAGGGUUCUAAACAGGAAGGUCUUUGUGUCAUUGUAUUGGCUUGGGGUGAGGGUUCUAAACAGGAAGGUCUUUGUAUCAUUGUAUUGGCUCGGGGUGAGGGUUCUAAACAGGAAGGUCUUAGUGUCAUUGUAUUGGCUCGGGGUGAGUGUUCUAAACAGGAAGGUCUUUGUAUCAUUGUAUUGGCUCGGGGUGAGUGUUCUAAACAGGAAGGUCUUAGUGUCAUUGUAUUGGCUCGGGGUGAGGGUUCUAAACAGGAAGGUCUUUGUGUCAUUGUAUUGGCUCGGGGUGAGGGUUCUAAACAGGAAG